RNAcentral lists this transfer RNA (66 nucleotides) under Neucentropus mandjuricus. RNAcentral's name for it is "tRNA-Ser". The record is from RNAcentral. Lineage: Eukaryota; Metazoa; Arthropoda; Insecta; Trichoptera; Polycentropodidae.
AAUUAAUGAACUUGUAAAUAAGUAUUUGUUUUGAAAACUUAAAAAAGAAUAUAAUUCUAUUAAUUU